This 616-nucleotide unclassified non-coding RNA is filed under the name Hevea brasiliensis (rubber tree). The record is from RNAcentral. Lineage: Eukaryota; Viridiplantae; Streptophyta; Magnoliopsida; Malpighiales; Euphorbiaceae.
GUGAAAUCAAAAGAUGCUUUUUGAUUGAUCUUUCUAUACUAAAAUGUUAGGAGCCAGAUUAUACAAUUUUGUAAAUUUUGGUGCCACUCAGUAAAUGAGACAUUAAUUAGAUGAUCAGAUGAUGCCAUCUAUCUUGUUUCUAACAGGUGCAUAUUUAGAGAAUUAGUAUAAAAAGGAUGUUGUAAGUUGUAAUUAAUCUAUUGUUGUGAUAACAAGAAUUAGUUAUAGCUCCCUACUUUUCUCUCUCUAAAUCUAUUCCCACAAUUCUUCUCUUAUUUCUUCUUCUUCUUCUCUGUUUUCCUUCUCUUUUCCUCAGUUUUCCCACUCUUUCCUUAUUGCCAAACACUAGAACCAAGGCCUAACAAUCUCAUAUCCUAACACAAAAUCAGUGUGAAAAGAGCAGGGGUGACUUCUACUCAUUAUAUGCCUUCUACAAAGAAAUAAGGCUUGUUUGGAUUGUUAGUUAAUUAUACUGAGCCUUUGGGGCAUCAUGACUAUAAAUUCUAGGAAUGGAAAAGGUAUUAUUUGAUGUUACCGGAUGCAUAUUUCUUUCCCUAAAGUUUCUUGUUCAAUUUCUUUGGUCAAAUUCCUUACUCUAAUGGCCUUCUGUUUUUGC